Molecule: ribosomal RNA, 506 nt
Filed under: uncultured bacterium
Lineage: Bacteria
Description: partial 16S ribosomal RNA
Rfam family: Bacterial small subunit ribosomal RNA
Source: RNAcentral
ACGAACGCUGGCGGCGUGCCUAAUACCUGCAAGUCGAACGCAUUUUCUUUCACCGUAGCUUGCUACACCGAAAGAAAAUGCGUGGCGAACGGGUGAGUAACACGUGGGUAACCUGCCCAUCAGCGGGGGAUAACACUUGGAAACAGGUGCUAAUACCGCAUAAUUCCAUUUACCGCAUGGUAGAUGGAUGAAAGGCGCUUUUGCGUCACUGAUGGAUGGACCCGCGGUGCAUUAGCUAGUUGGUGGGGUAACGGCCUACCAAGGCUGAGAUGCAUAGCCGACCUGAGAGGGUGAUCGGCCACACUGGGACUGGGACACGGCCCAGACUCCUACGGGAGGCAGCAGGAGGGAAUCUUCGGCAAUGGACACAAGUCUGACCGAGCAACGCCGCGUGAGUGAAGAAGGUUUUCGGAUCGUAAAACUCUGUUGUUAGAGAAGAACAAGGAUGAGAGUGGAAAGUUCAUCCCUUGACGGUAUCUAACCAGAAAGCCACGGCUAACUACGUG